RNAcentral lists this long non-coding RNA (1198 nucleotides) under Gadus morhua (Atlantic cod). RNAcentral describes it as "lncRNA (ENSGMOG00000023972.1)". The record is from RNAcentral. Lineage: Eukaryota; Metazoa; Chordata; Actinopteri; Gadiformes; Gadidae.
UUCUAAAAAAAGCUUUUUUAACUUUGCCUUUAUUUUCUAUUUUAAUACUAAAAUGCCUUUUUCUAUUUUACCCAUUUCUUUGCAUAUGUUUUUCUUUUACUUAUCUAUUAUUUUAUUUUAUUGUAUGACAAUGUUUAUAUGUGAAGCACUUUGAGUCUGCCUUGUGUAUGAAAAGUGCUAUAUAAAUAAAGUUGCCUUGCCUUGCCUUGCCUAUAUAAAAUAAAACAUGUUUACUGUAAAAGGUAGGGAGGGCUUAGCCCUGUUAGCCCAUUAAUACCAGCCGUCCCUGGUUAAUAUGGUGUAUGUGUUGUGCUAAAAGCCUAUACGGGUUAGCCUAUUGUGUGUAGACUAUAUUAGCUUAAAGUGAAAUCUUAUGUCUUGGUACUGUAAGUCAUUCUGAAAUGAUUACUGUUUUAGUUGAGUAUAUUUAUUGCUCAUUGUUAAAAAAAAAAAAAUGUACAUUUAUUACAUAAGGGAAUUAAUUAUUAUUAUUACAUCUAUCACAAUAGUACAUGCAUAGAAUAAAUACCACUGAAAUGGUUAUGUUUAACUUGCGUAGUCUAUUUUGCAGAAUGCUAACCUCAUUCAUUUAUUUGAAUGCAGGCUGAAAAUGCUGGCAAAAGUGGAAUAUGGGUGAGUCCAAAAAUACAUUAAAGUUCCUCAAACUGAUGACAAUUUCCAUUUCCUCCAGUUUCUUCAAGAAGCAACAGACAAAUUUAGUCUGCAGGCUCAACAUCUAUCCGAGGGUGUGUUAGCCUUGACUGAUGCAUCAGAUACCGAGGUUGAUGCAGACACAUUUGAUGAGCUGAUAAAGUCAGGGGUCCGAAACUUCAAGGUUGGAUACCGCAAGUACCCAGUAACGGGUAAGGAUAAACCUUUUGAGUCCAAGCACCCGUAUAUGGAGGCAGGGUGUUCAUGUUCAUGCUUUUCCACUAAUCGUGUGUAUGUAUUUUUGAAUUGGUGGAAUACAACUCGCAGUCCUCCGUAUUGUCAGACUCCACAGCAUCACCAGUUUCAUUGCCAGGACCCCGCGCAUCACCAGCUUCUACAAGUUCAGGUUCGACAAUCAUCCUCCCAUCCACUAAAAACCGGAAGAGAGGCCUGGUAGAGCUGGAACGUAAUGAAGCAAGACAGGUAAACCUUGAAACUGUCUGUAAAAUGUACUGGAUUUUAAGAUUAUUAGAUUAAUUUAUAACAG